Molecule: ribosomal RNA, 413 nt
Filed under: uncultured Leptothrix sp.
Lineage: Bacteria; Pseudomonadati; Pseudomonadota; Betaproteobacteria; Burkholderiales; Sphaerotilaceae
Description: bacterial SSU rRNA
Rfam family: Bacterial small subunit ribosomal RNA
Source: RNAcentral
UGUGCCAGCAGCCGCGGUAAUACGUAGGGUGCAAGCGUUAAUCGGAAUUACUGGGCGUAAAGCGUGCGCAGGCGGUUGUGCAAGACAGAUGUGAAAUCCCCGGGCUCAACCUGGGAACUGCAUUUGUGACUGCACGGCUAGAGUGCGGCAGAGGGAGAUGGAAUUCCGCGUGUAGCAGUGAAAUGCGUAGAUAUGCGGAGGAACACCGAUGGCGAAGGCAAUCUCCUGGGCCUGCACUGACGCUCAUGCACGAAAGCGUGGGGAGCAAACAGGAUUAGAUACCCUGGUAGUCCACGCCCUAAACGAUGUCAACUAGUUGUUGGGGAUUCAUUUCCUUAGUAACGUAGCUAACGCGUGAAGUUGACCGCCUGGGGAGUACGGUCGCAAGAUUAAAACUCAAAGAAAUUGACGGG